RNAcentral lists this ribosomal RNA (133 nucleotides) under Salmonella enterica subsp. enterica serovar Infantis. Its description in RNAcentral is "partial 23S ribosomal RNA". It matches the Rfam family "Bacterial large subunit ribosomal RNA", at positions 2798 to 2925 of the family's 2925-position model. Lineage: Bacteria; Pseudomonadati; Pseudomonadota; Gammaproteobacteria; Enterobacterales; Enterobacteriaceae. The record is from RNAcentral.
CGCGAGAUGAGUUCUCCCUGAGACUUAGAGUCUCCUGAAGGAACGUUGAAGACGACGACGUUGAUAGGCCGGGUGUGUAAGCGCAGCGAUGCGUUGAGCUAACCGGUACUAAUGAACCGUGAGGCUUAACCUU